This 389-nucleotide ribosomal RNA is filed under the name uncultured bacterium. RNAcentral's name for it is "bacterial SSU rRNA". It matches the Rfam family "Bacterial small subunit ribosomal RNA", at positions 28 to 405 of the family's 1533-position model. The record is from RNAcentral.
GAUGAACGCUAGCGGCAGGCUUAACACAUGCAAGUCGAACGGCAGCACAGGUAGCAAUACUGGGUGGCGAGUGGCGCACGGGUGCGUAACGCGUAUGCAACCUACCUCUAUCUGGGAGAUAGCCCGAAGAAAUUCGGAUUAAUACCCCAUAAUAUAUGUCUUUCGUCAUGUUAGACAUAUUAAAGACUUUGGUCGGAUAGAGAUGGGCGAUGCGUGACAUUAGCUAGUUGGUAAGGUAACGGCUUACCAACGGCUACGAUGUCUAGGGGUCGUGAGAGGAGUUAUCCCCACCACUGGUACUGAGACACGGACCAGACUCCUACGGGAGGCAGCAGUGAGGAAUAAUUGGACAAAUGGGCGAAAGACCUGAUCCAGCCAUGCCGCGUGCA